RNAcentral lists this microRNA precursor (97 nucleotides) under Nicotiana sylvestris (wood tobacco). Its description in RNAcentral is "MIR6152 microRNA precursor family". It matches the Rfam family "MIR6152 microRNA precursor family". The record is from Rfam by way of RNAcentral. RNAcentral also lists the same sequence under 1 other name. Lineage: Eukaryota; Viridiplantae; Streptophyta; Magnoliopsida; Solanales; Solanaceae.
UUGACAAAUUAUUGUAUUCGACUGUAUUCACGACGUGAAAUAUGGGAUUACACUGUUUUUAAAACGGAAAGUAAAUCAAUUAACAUAAUAGACUCCU